Molecule: RNase P RNA, 385 nt
Filed under: Leptolyngbya sp. SIO3F4
Lineage: Bacteria; Bacillati; Cyanobacteriota; Cyanophyceae; Leptolyngbyales; Leptolyngbyaceae
Description: RNase P RNA component class A
Rfam family: Bacterial RNase P class A
About the family: Ribonuclease P (RNase P) is a ubiquitous endoribonuclease, found in archaea, bacteria and eukarya as well as chloroplasts and mitochondria. Its best characterised activity is the generation of mature 5'-ends of tRNAs by cleaving the 5'-leader elements of precursor-tRNAs.
Source: RNAcentral
AAGAGUUGGUGUUGCGGUUGCGGAUUAGGCUUGACCUAAUCUGAGGAAAGUCCGGGCUCCUGAAAGGUCAGGCUUGCUGGGUAACUCCCAGUGCGGGUGACCGUGAGGAUAGUGCCACAGAAACAUACCGCCGAUGGGUCAGGGGCAUGCCCCGCCACAGGUAAGGGUGCAAAGGUGCGGUAAGAGCGCACCAGCAGUAUCGAGAGGUACUGGCUCGGUAAACCCCGGCCAGGAGCAAGGUCGCAGGGGUCAUGGUUGACCUUUUUCCAGCCCCGCUUUUGGUGUACCGCUAGAGGCAGCUGGUAACAGUUGUCCCAGAUAGAUAACCGCCCGUUGAUGGUGACAUCAGCGAGAACAGAACCCGGCUUACGGCCAACUCUUUCCA